RNAcentral lists this ribosomal RNA (421 nucleotides) under uncultured Methanoregula sp. RNAcentral describes it as "partial 16S ribosomal RNA". The record is from RNAcentral. Lineage: Archaea; Methanobacteriati; Methanobacteriota; Methanomicrobia; Methanomicrobiales; Methanoregulaceae.
GGACUACGCGGGUAUCUAAUCCGGUUUGCUCCCCCAGCUUUCGUCCCUCACUGUCGGAGCCGUUCUGGUGAGACGCCUUCGCCACAGGUGGUCCCCCAAGGAUUACAGGAUUUCACUCCUACCCCUGGAGUACCUCUCACCUCUCCCGGUCCCUAGUCUGCCAGUAUCCCUGAGACGCCUUCCGGUUAAGCCGGAAGAUUUCCCCAGAGACUUAACAAACCAGCUACGAACGCUUUAAGCCCAGUAAUAGUGGCCACCACUCGAGCCGCCGCGGUAAUACCGGCGGCUGGCACCGGUCUUGCCCGGCCCUUUCUUCACCGGUUAUUUACACCGGUGGACAGCCCGAUUUUACGGGCACUCAGAGUUCCCUUGUCACGGUUUCCCGCAUUGCAAAGUUUUCGCGCCUGCUGCCCCCCGUAGG